This 374-nucleotide unclassified non-coding RNA is filed under the name soil metagenome. Its description in RNAcentral is "partial contains 5.8S ribosomal RNA, internal transcribed spacer 2, and large subunit ribosomal RNA". The stretch from base 1 to 120 matches the Rfam family "5.8S ribosomal RNA", at positions 35 to 154 of the family's 154-position model. The record is from RNAcentral.
GAUGAAGAACGCAGCGAAAUGCGAUAAGUAAUGUGAAUUGCAGAAUUCAGUGAAUCAUCGAAUCUUUGAACGCACAUUGCGCCCCCUGGCAUUCCGGGGGGCAUGCCUGUUCGAGCGUCUCCGAAAGAGAAGACUCACGCGGGGGAACGCGUGGUGGUGGCGGCGGCGGCGGCCCCGAAUGGGGAGCCACCCUGUCGGAAUCAAUGGGCGGACGCCUGCCGCGAUGCCGAGCGUGAUAUGAAGCAUGGGCGCUCGAGCGCGGCGAGGCUCCCAGCCCCUGGCCCAUGGGUCUGGGCGGGGAGGGCAAGACACUGGAACUCCUCGAAUCAGGUAGGGAUACCCGCUGAACUUAAGCAUAUCAAUAAGCGGGAGGA